UACGUAGGGUCCGAGCGUUGUCCGGAAUUAUUGGGCGUAAAGGGCUCGUAGGCGGUCUGUUGCGUCGGGAGUGAAAACUUACAGCUUAACUGUGAGCGUGCUUCCGAUACGGGCAGACUUGAGGUAUUCAGGGGAGAACGGAAUUCCUGGUGUAGCGGUGAAAUGCGCAGAUAUCAGGAGGAACACCGGUGGCGAAGGCGGAUCUCUGGGCCAUUACUGACGCUGAGGAGCGAAAGCGUGGGGAGCGAACAGG
RNAcentral lists this ribosomal RNA (253 nucleotides) under uncultured bacterium. RNAcentral describes it as "partial 16S ribosomal RNA". It matches the Rfam family "Bacterial small subunit ribosomal RNA", at positions 524 to 776 of the family's 1533-position model. The record is from RNAcentral.